RNA transcript from Manihot esculenta (cassava), 1849 nucleotides. It is a transcript of the gene named protein BREVIS RADIX, with no coding region annotated. The record is from RefSeq and is a predicted model, not a curated record. NCBI's taxonomy places the organism in Eukaryota, Viridiplantae, Streptophyta, Magnoliopsida, Malpighiales, Euphorbiaceae. The transcript is spliced from 8 exons.
UCAUUUAAAGCUGCUCCAACCGUCUGCCUGUGAUAUCCAAAUCCGAAACAUUCCAUUUUCAUACAUUUCGCAGAUGUAUCAAUUUUCUUUUCCUUUCUUCUUUUCGCGUCCUGCUUAGUAAUUGGCGAAGUUAAAGCGGUUCCAAUGAUCAUGAUUUUGGUGUGGAAUUGAAGAGAAAAUUUAUUGAGAUGAAGAUUUAGAGGAAUUUAUGUAUGCUGUGCUUCAAUCAGUAAGAAACUGCAAGGAACAAUCAAGCUGAUUCGGUGGAAACUGAAGGGAAACAGAAAAAGAGAGAGAAACCAUGAGCAAGUAAAGCGUAUCAGGAAUCAUACAAGGAGAUCAAUAUUUUAUGAAGAUUAGCUAAGCGAGAGAAAGAGGAACUGCAAACAGGGUAAAAAGGUAAUAAAAGAAACAAAGCAAAGAAAUAGAAGGAGAUGUUUACGUGUAUAGCGUGCACAAAGCCAGUGGCAGAAGACGGAGAUGACGGAGCGCGUGGAAGUGGAAUACCAAGUACUAAAGAAGCCGUCAAAAGCCUGACGGCUCAGAUCAAAGAGAUGGCAAUGAAAUUUUCCAGUAGGCAAUGCAAGCCCUGUACAGGUUCCAGCAGUUUCAAAAAAGGACAGAGACCUUAUCCUGACUUUGAUAUGGCUUCUGAAGGGGUUCCAUAUUCCUAUUUCGGAGGUGGAAGCUCAACCUCAACACCUGCGUGGGAUUUUACAAACACUGCUCACCAUCGAGGCAUAAGAUCUGACUCAGGAAGUACUGGACUGUUUAAUGGCGAUCAGACCCCUGGAAGAGCCGAGUCUAUCUCAGCUCAGACUUGUGACGUGGUGCUAGAGGACGAGGAUGAACCCAAGGAGUGGAUGGCACAGGUGGAGCCAGGAGUUCAUAUUACUUUCGUGUCUCUUCCUAAUGGUGGGAAUGAUCUAAAGCGUAUUCGCUUCAGUCGAGAGAUGUUUAACAAGUGGCAAGCUCAGCGAUGGUGGGGUGAGAAUUUUGACAGAAUCAUGGAGCUCUACAAUGUCCAGAAAUUUAAUCGUCAAGCUCUUCAUACACCUUCGAGGUCUGAGGAUGAGAGAGAUUCUUCUUACUCAAGGAUGGGUUCUGCAAGAGAAAGCCCCAUAGUGGCCCCAUCACUUACACCAAGAAAUCACUAUAAGCAGUCUGGAAGUAAAGGGUGUUUCCCAUCUGACGUUAUGGAACAAGUUGGCAGUCAACAUUACCAUGCUGGUUUAAGUGGGUAUGGUACAGGUGGCCCAAAAGCCGAGGCAUCUUCUAUGGAUGCAUCACGGACAACCACAUCGUCUAGAGAUGGUUCUGUUUCUGUUAGCAACGCUAGUGAUUUAGAGACAGAAUGGGUUGAGCAAGAUGAGCCUGGGGUUUACAUUACUAUCAGACAAUUAUCUGAUGGGACUAGGGAGCUUCGACGGGUCAGAUUCAGCCGGGAAAAGUUCGGUGAAGCGCACGCGAAGCUAUGGUGGGAAGAGAACAGAGAAAGAAUACAAAAUCAAUACCUUUAAAAAGACAAGUUCACAUAAUCUGUAAUGGUAGCAACUGAAGUGAAUGAAUUAAGAAUUCUAGUUGCUAGAAUGAAACUCUUUGAAAAUGUUAUCGGAAAACUCUUUGAAAAUGGAAAGUUUUCGUCUGGCAAGGCCAAAUUAAAAUUAACUUUUUAAUUUUCAUUCACAAUUUAUUAAAAAUAAACUCAUACUCAACCAUUAGUCUUCAGGAUUCAAUGGGAUUAAUUGACUCAUAGUUUACAUGUUCAGGAUUUGUUAUCUGUUAACUCCAGCAUUGUAGACAAAGGAAUGGGAUUGAGAAUGUUUGUCAUCUGUUAACACUGAGAUGA